AAUGAACGUUGGCGGCGUGGAUUAGGCAUGCAAGUCGUGCGACAAGUCUCUUUUAGCUUGCUAUUAGAGAUGGAGGAGCGGCGCAAGGGUGAGUAACGCGUGGAUACCUGCCCCUGGGUCCGGGAUAGCGUCGGGAAACUGGCGGUAAUACCGGAUAAUAUCCCCGGAUCAAAGGUGUGAUUCCGCCUAGGGAUGGGUCCGCGUCCUAUUAGCUUGUUGGUGGGUAAUGGCCUACCAAGGCGAAGAUGGGUACCGGUGUGAGAGCAUGGCCCGGACACUGGGACUGAGACACUGCCCAGACACUACGGGUG
Molecule: ribosomal RNA, 311 nt
Filed under: uncultured bacterium
Lineage: Bacteria
Description: bacterial SSU rRNA
Rfam family: Bacterial small subunit ribosomal RNA
Source: RNAcentral